GUGGGGAAUAUUGGACAAUGGGCGGAAGCCUGAUCCAGCAACGCCGCGUGAGGGAUGACGGCCUUCGGGUUGUAAACCUCUUUCGGUACCGACGAAGCGAGAGUGACGGUAGGUACUAAAGAAGCACCGGCCAACUACGUGCCAGCAGCCGCGGUAAUACGUAGGGUGCGAGCGUUGUCCGGAAUUAUUGGGCGUAAAGGGCUCGUAGGCGGUUUGUCACGUCGGGAGUGAAAACCAGGUGCUUAACACCUGGCCUGCUUCCGAUACGGGCAGACUGGAGGUAUGCAGGGGAGAACGGAAUUCCUGGUGUAGCGGUGAAAUGCGCAGAUAUCAGGAGGAACACCGGUGGCGAAGGCGGUUCUCUGGGCAUUACCUGACGCUGAGGAGCGAAAGUGUGGGGAGCGAACAGGAUUAGAAACCCCUGUAGUCC
This 430-nucleotide ribosomal RNA is filed under the name uncultured bacterium. RNAcentral's name for it is "partial 16S ribosomal RNA". It matches the Rfam family "Bacterial small subunit ribosomal RNA", at positions 354 to 796 of the family's 1533-position model. The record is from RNAcentral.